Molecule: ribosomal RNA, 440 nt
Filed under: uncultured bacterium
Lineage: Bacteria
Description: partial 16S ribosomal RNA
Rfam family: Bacterial small subunit ribosomal RNA
Source: RNAcentral
CCUACGGGAGGCAGCAGUGGGGGAUAUUGCACAAUGGGGGGAACCCUGAUGCAGCGACGCCGCGUGGGUGAAGAAGCGCCUCGGCGCGUAAAGCCCUGUCAGCAGGGAAGAAAAUGACGGUACCUGAAGAAGAAGCCCCGGCUAACUACGUGCCAGCAGCCGCGGUAAUACGGAGGGGGCAAGCGUUAUCCGGAUUUACUGGGUGUAAAGGGGGCGCAGACGGCGAUGCACGCAAGGAGUGAAAGCCCGGGGCGCAACCCCGGGACUGCUGUUGGAACUGGGUGGCUGGAGUGCAGGAGGGACAGGCGGAAUUACUGGUGUAGCGGUGAAAGGCGUAGAUAGCAGGAGGAACACCGGUGGCGAAGGCGGCCUGCUGGACUGCAACUGACGUUGAGGCCCGAAAGCGUGGGGAGCAAACAGGAUUAGAUACCCCUGUAGUC